RNAcentral lists this ribosomal RNA (253 nucleotides) under uncultured bacterium. Its description in RNAcentral is "partial 16S ribosomal RNA". It matches the Rfam family "Bacterial small subunit ribosomal RNA", at positions 524 to 776 of the family's 1533-position model. The record is from RNAcentral.
UACGUAGGGUGCGAGCGUUGUCCGGAAUUAUGGGGCGUAAAGGGCUCGUAGGCGGUUUGUCGCGUCGGGAGUGAAAACUCAGGGCUUAACCCUGAGCCUGCUUCCGAUACGGGCAGACUAGAGGUAUGCAGGGGAGAACGGAAUUCCUGGUGUAGCGGUGAAAUGCGCAGAUAUCAGGAGGAACACCGGUGGCGAAGGCGGUUCUCUGGGCAUUACCUGACGCUGAGGAGCGAAAGUGUGGGGAGCGAACAGG